AGUGAACGCUGGCGGUAGGCCUAACACAUGCCAGUCGAACGGCAGCACAGUAAGAGCUUGCUCUUACGGGUGGCGAGUGGCGGACGGGUGAGGAAUACAUCGGAAUCUACUUUUUCGUGGGGGAUAACGUAGGGAAACUUACGCUAAUACCGCAUACGACCUACGGGUGAAAGCAGGGGAUCUUCGGACCUUGCGCGAUUGAAUGAGCCGAUGUCGGAUUAGCGAGUUGGCGGGGUAAAGGCCCACCAAGGCGACGAUCCGUAGCUGGUCUGAGAGGAUGAUCAGCCACACUGGAACUGAGACACGGUCCAGACUCCUACGGGAGGCAGCAGUGGGGAAUAUUGGACAAUGGGCGCAAGCCUGAUCCAGCCAUACCGCGUGGGUGAAGAAGGCCUUCGGGUUGUAAAGCCCUUUUGUUGGGAAAGAAAAGCAGCAGGUUAAUACCCCGCUGUUCUGACGGUACCCAAAGAAUAAGCACCGGCUAACUUCGUG
Molecule: ribosomal RNA, 492 nt
Filed under: uncultured bacterium
Lineage: Bacteria
Description: partial 16S ribosomal RNA
Rfam family: Bacterial small subunit ribosomal RNA
Source: RNAcentral